UACGGAGGGUGCAAGCGUUAUCCGGAUUUACUGGGUUUAAAGGGUGCGUAGGUGGGUUGGUAAGUCAGUGGUGAAAUACUUUCGCUUAACGAAGGAACUGCCAUUGAUACUACCAGUCUUGAAUACAGUGGAGGUAGGCGGAAUGCGUCAUGUAGCGGUGAAAUGCUUAGAUAUGACGCAGAACACCAAUUGCGAAGGCAGCUUGCUACACUGUUAUUGACACUGAGGCACGAAAGCGUGGGGAUCAAACGGG
This 253-nucleotide ribosomal RNA is filed under the name uncultured bacterium. RNAcentral describes it as "partial 16S ribosomal RNA". It matches the Rfam family "Bacterial small subunit ribosomal RNA", at positions 524 to 776 of the family's 1533-position model. The record is from RNAcentral.